UAAGAGUGAUGUAAUUAUAGUUAAUCGAUGCAUCAUUUUCUACAUUUUGGAUUUUUGCAACAGUUUAAAAAAGCAAAACCAAAAACUGAGCUUUUUUGUGAUUGUGUCCAGGACAAUUAACUGAUAAUUAUGAAUGAUUUUAUUCUGUUGCUUUUUUUAAAGCUACAAUUUUUGUUUUUUGUCUCCCUCGCAGGGCGAUUGAUAACCAGGUGUACGUGGCCACAGCGUCUCCUGCCCGAGAUGAAACGUCUUCAUACGUCGCCUGGGGUCACAGCACUGUGGUAAACCCGUGGGGUGAAGUUAUCUCGAAGGCCGGACCGGAGGAGGCGGUUAUUUAUGCCGACAUCGACCUGCAGUAUUUAGCCGACAUCCGGCAGCAGAUCCCGAUCACGCUUCAGCGUCGUGACGACCUCUACGCGGUGACGUUUCUGCAGGACGGAUCGAGCUGAACGCCUUGACCUCGAGACGAGACGGUGUGAAGGUACCGACACAAACUGUGCAGCAGAUCUCUGCAGCAGAUCUCUGCAGCAGAUCUCUGCAGCAGAUCUCUGCAGCAGAUCUCUGCAGCAGACGCUGCGUCUUCGUCUUUCUCUGAAGCACCAGACUUUAUCGUCUCAACUGAUAAAAACAAGAGAUGCAGUUUUGGGAUGGUGACGCUCAUUUCUGAGGGAUGAAACUGGUUUGUUUUGUGUGUCUGUUGCUGAAAUGAGAAGUUAAUUACUUUAAAAAAAAUGUCAGUUUUGGUAAGCA
Molecule: non-coding RNA, 750 nt
Organism: Plectropomus leopardus (leopard coralgrouper)
Lineage: Eukaryota; Metazoa; Chordata; Actinopteri; Perciformes; Serranidae
Source: RefSeq, a predicted model, not a curated record